This 1440-nucleotide ribosomal RNA is filed under the name metagenome. RNAcentral's name for it is "bacterial SSU rRNA". It matches the Rfam family "Bacterial small subunit ribosomal RNA". The record is from RNAcentral.
AGAGUUUGAUCCUGGCUCAGAGCGAACGCUGGCGGCAGGCUUAACACAUGCAAGUCGAGCGGGCGUAGCAAUACGUCAGCGGCAGACGGGUGAGUAACGCGUGGGAACGUACCUUUUGGUUCGGAACAACACAGGGAAACUUGUGCUAAUACCGAAUAAGCCCUUACGGGGAAAGAUUUAUCGCCGAAAGAUCGGCCCGCGUCUGAUUAGCUAGUUGGUGAGGUAACGGCUCACCAAGGCGACGAUCAGUAGCUGGUCUGAGAGGAUGAUCAGCCACAUUGGGACUGAGACACGGCCCAAACUCCUACGGGAGGCAGCAGUGGGGAAUAUUGGACAAUGGGCGCAGGCCUGAUCCAGCCAUGCCGCGUGAGUGAUGAAGGCCCUAGGGUUGUAAAGCUCUUUUGUGCGGGAAGAUAAUGACGGUACCGCAAGAAUAAGCCCCGGCUAACUUCGUGCCAGCAGCCGCGGUAAUACGAAGGGGGCUAGCGUUGCUCGGAAUCACUGGGCGUAAAGGGUGCGUAGGCGGGUCUUUAAGUCAGGGGUGAAAUCCUGGAGCUCAACUCCAGAACUGCCUUUGAUACUGAGGAUCUUGAGUUCGGGAGAGGUGAGUGGAACUGCGAGUGUAGAGGUGAAAUUCGUAGAUAUUCGCAAGAACACCAGUGGCGAAGGCGGCUCACUGGCCCGAUACUGACGCUGAGGCACGAAAGCGUGGGGAGCAAACAGGACUAGAUACCCUGGUAGUCCACGCCCUAAACGAUGUCUACUAGUUGUCGGGUCUUAAUUGACUUGGUAACGCAGCUAACGCGUGAAGUAGACCGCCUGGGGAGUACGGUCGCAAGAUUAAAACUCAAAGGAAUUGACGGGGACCCGCACAAGCGGUGGAUGAUGUGGAUUAAUUCGAUGCAACGCGAAAAACCUUACCUACCCUUGACAUGUCUGGAAUCCCUGAGAGAUUAGGGAGUGCUCGAAAGAGAAUCAGAACACAGGUGCUGCAUGGCUGUCGUCAGCUCGUGUCGUGAGAUGUUGGGUUAAGUCCCGCAACGAGCGCAACCCUUGUCAUUAGUUGCUACGAAAGGGCACUCUAAUGAGACUGCCGGUGACAAACCGGAGGAAGGUGGGGAUGACGUCAAGUCCUCAUGGCCCUUAUGGGUAGGGCUUCACACGUCAUACAAUGAUACAUACAGAGGGCCGCCAACCCGCGAGGGGGAGCUAAUCCCAGAAAGUGUAUCGUAGUCCGGAUUGGAGUCUGCAACUCGACUCCAUGAAGUUGGAAUCGCUAGUAAUCGCGGAUCAGCAUGUCGCGGUGAAUACGUUCCCGGGUCUUGUACACACCGCCCGUCACACCAUGGGAGCGGGUUUCACCAGAAGUGGGUAGCCUAACCGCAAGGAGGGCGCUCACCACGGUGGGAUUCGUGACUGGGGUGAAGUCGUAACAAGGUA